This is a non-coding RNA of Pelobates cultripes (western spadefoot toad), 571 nucleotides long. Lineage: Eukaryota; Metazoa; Chordata; Amphibia; Anura; Pelobatidae. The record is from the annotation of a GenBank genome assembly.
CAGAGUGUCUGUCUGCCUGGUUACUCUCCUUCAUCAUUGUGGCUUCUGACCUUAGCUCAUAAUUCCUUAGGAUGCCUUCAGAUUAAUCUUUCAAUCCCCUGUUGUGGCAUCUGACCAUGGCUAUUGUUAUCUGACUACACUUAUGGAUCACCCUUUCAACCUACUACUGACUUCAGCUUUCCAGCCCUGACUAUGCUCUUGGAUAAUUCUUAGUUGCCAUAAUGGACUUGCUUCUCCGCUUAGCCUUCAGAACAGUUAUUGCAGUAACCUCUCACUUAUCCAGUCACUUCUUUCUCCUCAAACCAAGGAAUCAUAUUGUUCCAGUUCUAUUUUUGGCUCUUCACCAGUAACUACUCUUUCUGAAACAAAAGUCUCUACUCCAGAACUUUGGAUAUACUCUGUUAUACCUGCAUAUGACCUGCUCUCUACCUUAAACUGGUAUAGCGGCAAAAUAACUCCAUAUAACAAAACAGUGUGUUUGUUAAUCUGCUCAUAAUAAAUAGUCAGCUACUGUAUAUACUGAGUUGUUAAACAGGUAAUGCUGUGUAUAUAUAUAUAUAUAUAUAUAUAU